GGCAGCUAUCAAGCAGUCUGUCACGCGGUCUCUGCCUGUCGUGGUAGUUUUGGGUUCGACAGGCACCGGGAAAUCUAAAUUGGCCAUCCAGAUAGCAAAGACAUUCAAUGGGGAGAUCAUAAGUGCCGAUUCUAUGCAGGUUUACAAGGGCCUGAACAUUGUGACAAACAAAGUGACUACAGAGGAGCAAGCAGAGUGUCCACAUCACCUGAUAAACUACAUCAGUCCCCUCCAUACCCAAUACACUGUGGUGGAUUACCAGAAAGCUGCCCUACCAAUUAUAGAAGGCCUUCUGACUCGAAAUAAGCUUCCUGUGAUUGUGGGUGGGACAAAUUACUACAUCGAAUCUCUCCUGUGGAAUUACCUAUUGCCUGACUCUCAGGUAAGCAAA
Liolophura sinensis is the source of this 391-nucleotide long non-coding RNA. RefSeq lists it as uncharacterized. The record is from RefSeq and is a predicted model, not a curated record. Lineage: Eukaryota; Metazoa; Mollusca; Polyplacophora; Chitonida; Chitonidae. The transcript has 3 exons.